GUGAAGUACUAUGUUUAUUUUUAGAAGCUAUAUGAUGUUCUUAUGUUAGAUUGGUAUUGGAUUGCUACUAUUUGAAUCUGUUUCAGCUGAUAUUCUUAUAGUUUAACCAUUUUUUGGCUAUUCGUUUUAUAAUGAUACGGGUGCAGCAAUUCGUGGACUUCCGCUUUUCAGCAAGGAUACAUUAGAACAUAUUCCUAAGAUUGUUGACAUUCUUGCAUAACUUCUGAUAGCUGACUCAUGGCCUAAGAAAGCUAUUGGAGUGUCUUACAGGCCUUUGUAUCUGUAGGGAAGCAAGAAGGCAUUAAAGGCUAUUGGAAGGGUUAAUCUAUUUCAGAAUAUGAUAGUUUUAAUACCUGAGGCUAUUGAGAUGUUCGUUGCGUGUGGAUGUGAGACGAACGCCAGUGACGGUGUCAAAAUACUCACCGGUCUUCCACAUGACUGCUACAAGUAGG
Long non-coding RNA from Helianthus annuus (common sunflower), 452 nucleotides. RefSeq lists it as uncharacterized. The record is from RefSeq and is a predicted model, not a curated record. NCBI's taxonomy places the organism in Eukaryota, Viridiplantae, Streptophyta, Magnoliopsida, Asterales, Asteraceae. The transcript has 4 exons.